CCCUUGUACACACCGCCCGUCACACCACGGGAGUGAGCAACACCCGAAGCCGGUGGGCUAACCCGCAAGGGAGGCAGCCGUCUAAGGUGGGGCUCGUGACUGGGGUG
This 107-nucleotide ribosomal RNA is filed under the name uncultured bacterium. Its description in RNAcentral is "partial 16S ribosomal RNA". It matches the Rfam family "Bacterial small subunit ribosomal RNA", at positions 1378 to 1482 of the family's 1533-position model. The record is from RNAcentral.